Molecule: ribosomal RNA, 466 nt
Filed under: uncultured bacterium
Lineage: Bacteria
Description: SSU rRNA
Rfam family: Bacterial small subunit ribosomal RNA
Source: RNAcentral
AGGACUAACGCUGGCGGCGUGCCUAACACAUGCAAGUCGAACGAAGUAGCAAUACUUAGUGGCAGACGGGUGAGUAACACGUAGUCAACCUGCCCUUCAAUGGGGGAUAACUAGCCGAAAGGUUAGCUAAUACCGCAUACGAUCUCUGAGUGGCAUCACUCGGCGAUGAAAGGAGUAAUCCGUUGAAGGAGGGGACUGCGUCCCAUUAGUUAGUUGGUGGGGUAAUGGCCUACCAAGACUCCGAUGGGUAGCUGGCUUGAGAGAGCGACCAGCCACACUGGAACUGAGACACGGUCCAGACUCCUACGGGAGGCAGCAGUGAGGAAUUUUCCGCAAUGGGGGAAACCCUGACGGAGCGACGCCGCGGUGUGGGAAGAAGGCCUUCGGGUCGUAACCACUGUCGAGGGGACGGAUAUUGACGGUACCCCGUGGAGGAAGCCCCGGCUAACUACGUGCCAGCAGCCGC